RNAcentral lists this unclassified non-coding RNA (323 nucleotides) under Hevea brasiliensis (rubber tree). Lineage: Eukaryota; Viridiplantae; Streptophyta; Magnoliopsida; Malpighiales; Euphorbiaceae. The record is from RNAcentral.
GAGGGACACGAUUCGUCAUUGCGAGCGCCGCGACGAAGCCGUCCAGUGUGUCUGGAUUGCUUCGCGCCUCUCGCAAUGACGAUCGAGGCUGCUAGCGCACCUGGUCCGACGCGCUGGCCGACUUGUCGAACUGGCGGCCGGGUUUACCNUCGGCCGGUUUCGCCGGAGACGCGCCAGUCGCUGGCCUUGACGGCAUCGCCGACGGCGAACUUCUGGAAGCCUUCGACCACGACACGCUGGCCGGGCUUGAGGCCUUCGGUAAUCAGCCACUGGCCGUCAACAAUGCCACCGGUGCGGACCGGCUGGGCGACAAUGCGGCUGGC